AACGAACGCUGGCGGCAUGCCUAACACAUGCAAGUCGAACGAGACCUUCGGGUCUAGUGGCGCACGGGUGCGUAACGCGUGGGAACCUGCCCUUAGGUUCGGAAUAACUCCCCGAAAGGGGUGCUAAUACCGGAUAAUGUCUUCGGACCAAAGAUUUAUCGCCUUUGGAUGGGCCCGCGUUGGAUUAGCUAGUUGGUAGGGUAAAAGCCUACCAAGGCGACGAUCCAUAGCUGGUCUGAGAGGAUGAUCAGCCUCACUGGGACUGAGACACGGCCCAGACUCCUACGGGAGGCAGCAGUGGGGAAUAUUGGACAAUGGGCGAAAGCCUGAUCCAGCAAUGCCGCGUGAGUGAUGAAGGCCUUAGGGUUGUAAAGCUCUUUUACCCGGGAUGAUAAUGACAGUACCGGGAGAAUAAGCGCCGGCUAACUCCGUG
RNAcentral lists this ribosomal RNA (433 nucleotides) under uncultured bacterium. RNAcentral's name for it is "partial 16S ribosomal RNA". It matches the Rfam family "Bacterial small subunit ribosomal RNA", at positions 29 to 507 of the family's 1533-position model. The record is from RNAcentral.